AAGAAAUUAGUUAAAUUAUAACAUUAAUAUGUCAUAUUAAAAUUAUUAAAUACUAAUAUUUCUUU
This 65-nucleotide transfer RNA is filed under the name Phyllomimus sinicus. RNAcentral's name for it is "tRNA-Asp". The record is from RNAcentral. Lineage: Eukaryota; Metazoa; Arthropoda; Insecta; Orthoptera; Tettigoniidae.